UCGGGGUUAGUGGCGCACGGGUGCGUAACGCGUGGGAACCUGCCUUUUGGUUCGGAAUAACAGUGAGAAAUUACUGCUAAUACCGGAUAAUGUCUUCGGACCAAAGAUUUAUCGCCAUUAGAUGGGCCCGCGUAAGAUUAGCUAGUUGGUGGGGUAAAGGCCUACCAAGGCGACGAUCUUUAGCUGGUCUGAGAGGAUGAUCAGCCACACUGGGACUGAGACACGGCCCAGACUCCUACGGGAGGCAGCAGUGGGGAAUAUUGGACAAUGGGCGAAAGCCUGAUCCAGCAAUGCCGCGUGAGUGAUGAAGGCCUUAGGGUUGUAAAGCUCUUUUACCAGGGAUGAUAAUGACAGUACCUGGAGAAUAAGCUCCGGCUAACUCCGUGCCAGCAGCCGCGGUAAUACGGAGGGAGCUAGCGUUGUUCGGAAUUACUGGGCGUAAAGCGCACGUAGGCGGCUUUUUAAGUCAGGGGUGAAAUCCCGGAGCUCAACUCCGGAACUGCCCUUGAAACUGGGAAGCUAGAAUCUUGGAGAGGCGAGUGGAAUUCCGAGUGUAGAGGUGAAAUUCGUAGAUAUUCGGA
Molecule: ribosomal RNA, 581 nt
Filed under: Erythromicrobium sp. CH71
Lineage: Bacteria; Pseudomonadati; Pseudomonadota; Alphaproteobacteria; Sphingomonadales; Erythrobacteraceae
Description: bacterial SSU rRNA
Rfam family: Bacterial small subunit ribosomal RNA
Source: RNAcentral